Molecule: ribosomal RNA, 647 nt
Filed under: bacterium b1cc2
Lineage: Bacteria
Description: bacterial SSU rRNA
Rfam family: Bacterial small subunit ribosomal RNA
Source: RNAcentral
UCCACGCCGUAAACGAUGGAUACUAGCUGUCGGGACUUCGGUCUCGGCGGCCAAGCGAAAGUGAUAAGUAUCCCACCUGGGGAGUACGUUCGCAAGAAUGAAACUCAAAGGAAUUGACGGGGGCCCGCACAAGCGGUGGAGCAUGUGGUUUAAUUCGAUGAUACGCGAGGAACCUUACCAGGGCUUAAAUGCGGGCUGCAUGGGACAGAGACGUCCCUUUCUUCGGACCGCCCGCAAGGUGCUGCAUGGUUGUCGUCAGCUCGUGCCGUGAGGUGUCAGGUUAAGUCCUAUAACGAGCGCAACCCCUACCGUUAGUUGCCAGCAUGUAAAGAUGGGGACUCUAACGGGACUGCCGGUGCAAACCGUGAGGAAGGUGGGGACGACGUCAAAUCAUCACGGCCCUUACGUCCUGGGCCACACACGUGCUACAAUGGCCGGUACAGAGGGAAGCCACCCCGCAAGGGGGCGCGGAUCUACAAAGCCGGUCACAGUUCGGAUCGGGGUCUGCAACUCGACCCCGUGAAGCUGGAAUCGCUAGUAAUCGGAUAUCAGCCAUGAUCCGGUGAAUACGUUCCCGGGCCUUGUACACACCGCCCGUCAAGCCAUGGAAGCCGGGAGUGCCUGAAGUCCGUGACCGCAAGGAGCGG